RNAcentral lists this transfer RNA (74 nucleotides) under Caudoviricetes sp. RNAcentral describes it as "tRNA-Met". It matches the Rfam family "tRNA". From Rfam's summary of the family: Transfer RNA (tRNA) molecules are approximately 80 nucleotides in length. Their secondary structure includes four short double-helical elements and three loops (D, anti-codon, and T loops). Further hydrogen bonds mediate the characteristic L-shaped molecular structure. tRNAs have two regions of fundamental functional importance: the anti-codon, which is responsible for specific mRNA codon recognition, and the 3' end, to which the tRNAs corresponding amino acid is attached (by aminoacyl-tRNA synthetases). tRNAs cope with the degeneracy of the genetic code in two manners: having more than one tRNA (with a specific anti-codon) for a particular amino acid; and 'wobble' base-pairing, i.e. permitting non-standard base-pairing at the 3rd anti-codon position. Lineage: Duplodnaviria; Heunggongvirae; Uroviricota; Caudoviricetes. The record is from RNAcentral.
GGACUGUUAGCUCAACAGGUUAGAGCGGCAAACUCAUAAUUUGCGGGUACAGGGUUCGACUCCCUGACAGUCCA